RNAcentral lists this ribosomal RNA (512 nucleotides) under uncultured Clostridium sp. RNAcentral describes it as "bacterial SSU rRNA". It matches the Rfam family "Bacterial small subunit ribosomal RNA", at positions 173 to 707 of the family's 1533-position model. The record is from RNAcentral. Lineage: Bacteria; Bacillati; Bacillota; Clostridia; Eubacteriales; Clostridiaceae.
ACAAUUAGCUCCCAUGAUGUUCUAUCAAAGGAGUAAUCCGCUUUGAGAUGGGCCCGCGGCGCAUUAGCUAGUUGGUGAGGUAACGGCUCACCAAGGCAACGAUGCGUAGCCGACCUGAGAGGGUGAUCGGCCACAUUGGAACUGAGACACGGUCCAGACUCCUACGGGAGGCAGCAGUGGGGAAUAUUGCACAAUGGGGGAAACCCUGAUGCAGCAACGCCGCGUGAGUGAUGAAGGUCUUCGGAUUGUAAAGCUCUGUCUUUUGGGACGAUAAUGACGGUACCAAAGGAGGAAGCCACGGCUAACUACGUGCCAGCAGCCGCGGUAAUACGUAGGUGGCAAGCGUUGUCCGGAUUUACUGGGCGUAAAGGGUGCGUAGGCGGAUGUUUAAGUGAGAUGUGAAAUACCCGGGCUUAACUUGGGUACUGCAUUUCAAACUGGAUAUCUAGAGUGCAGGAGAGGAGAAUGGAAUUCCUAGUGUAGCGGUGAAAUGCGUAGAGUUAGGGAAGAAA